GUGUGAACUGCAGGACACAUGAACAUCGACAUUUUGAACGCACAUUGCGGUCCAUGCUAAUGUUUUUUUUUAAACUGCAUGGACCACGUAUGGUUGAGUGUCGUAA
RNAcentral lists this ribosomal RNA (106 nucleotides) under Phlebotomus kandelakii. Its description in RNAcentral is "partial 5.8S ribosomal RNA". It matches the Rfam family "5.8S ribosomal RNA", at positions 65 to 154 of the family's 154-position model. Rfam says of the family: 5.8S ribosomal RNA (5.8S rRNA) is a component of the large subunit of the eukaryotic ribosome. It is transcribed by RNA polymerase I as part of the 45S precursor that also contains 18S and 28S rRNA. The record is from RNAcentral. Lineage: Eukaryota; Metazoa; Arthropoda; Insecta; Diptera; Psychodidae.